AUACGAAAGGUGCAAGCGUUGUUCGGAUUUACUGGGCGUAAAGAGAGUGUAGGUGGUUUAUUAAGUCGGAUGUGAAAUCCCGGGGCUCAACCUCGGAACUGCAUUCGAUACUGAUAGGCUAGAGUUUGGGAGGGGUAAGCGGAAUUCCGUGUGUAGCAGUGAAAUGCGUAGAUAUACGGAGGAACACCUGAGGCGAAGGCGGCUUACUGGACCAAUACUGACACUGAGACUCGAAAGCGUGGGUAGCAAACAGGAUUAGAAACACUAGUAGUCC
Molecule: ribosomal RNA, 274 nt
Filed under: uncultured bacterium
Lineage: Bacteria
Description: partial 16S ribosomal RNA
Rfam family: Bacterial small subunit ribosomal RNA
Source: RNAcentral